Molecule: ribosomal RNA, 453 nt
Filed under: uncultured bacterium
Lineage: Bacteria
Description: bacterial SSU rRNA
Rfam family: Bacterial small subunit ribosomal RNA
Source: RNAcentral
UUUGAUCAUGGCUCAGGAUAAACGCUGGCGGCGUGCCUAACACAUGCAAGUCGAACGAUCCCGCAAGGGAGAGUGGCGGAAGGGUGAGUAACACGUGGGAAUCUACCUCCUCGCAGGGAACAACCUCUCGAAAGAGAGGCUAAUACCCAAAAGGGUCAGAAAUGAUCAGAGUCGAAAGGCGUGAGGAGAGGAGCCCGCGGCCCAUCAGCUAGUUGGUGAGGUAAUGGCUUACCAAGGCUACGACGGGUAGGGGAUCUGAGAGGAUGUCCCCCACACUGGAACUGAAACACGGUCCAGACGCCUACGGGUGGCAGCAGUGAGGAAUAUUGGACAAUGGGCGAAAGCCCGAUCCAGCAACGCCGCGUGGAGGAUGAAGGCCUUCGGGCCGUAAACUUCUUUAGAGGGAGACGAGAAAGGACGGUAUCCCUAGAAUAAGCGACGGCAAACUACGUG